This 465-nucleotide ribosomal RNA is filed under the name uncultured bacterium. RNAcentral's name for it is "bacterial SSU rRNA". It matches the Rfam family "Bacterial small subunit ribosomal RNA", at positions 27 to 507 of the family's 1533-position model. The record is from RNAcentral.
GGACGAACGCUGGCGGCGUGCCUAACACAUGCAAGUCGAGCGAAUGAAGUUCCUUCGGGAACGGAUUUAGCGGCGGACGGGUGAGUAACACGUGGGCAACCUGCCUCAUAGAGGGGAAUAGCCUUCCGAAAAGGGAGAUUAAUACCGCAUAAGAUUAUAGUACCGCAUGGUACAGCAAUUAAAGGAGCAAUCCGCUAUGAGAUGGGCCCGCGGCGCAUUAGCUAGUUGGUGAGGUAACGGCUCACCAAGGCGACGAUGCGUAGCCGACCUGAGAGGGUGAUCGGCCACAUUGGGACUGAGACACGGCCCAGACUCCUACGGGAGGCAGCAGUGGGGAAUAUUGCACAAUGGGGAAACCCUGAUGCAGCAACGCCGCGUGAGUGAUGACGGCCUUCGGGUUGUAAAGCUCUGUCUUCAGGGACGAUAAUGACGGUACCUGAGGAGGAAGCCACGGCUAACUACGUG